GCCUGGGUAGCUCAGUUGGGAGAGCGUCAGACUGAAGAUCUGAAGGUCCCUGGUUCAAUCCCGGGUCUAGGCA
Molecule: non-coding RNA, 73 nt
Organism: Oxytricha trifallax
Lineage: Eukaryota; Ciliophora; Spirotrichea; Sporadotrichida; Oxytrichidae
Source: Rfam